AUGUCGACGACAUCCAAAGUCAAGAUGACCGCGACCAUUUCACCCAAGGCCAAGAAUACAUGGACGGCCACGGCAACCAAGAAGAUACCGACGACCAAGGCGACCAAUGGCAAGAAGACACAUACGACCAAGAGGAAGAAGAUGAUGCUUAGAAGGAAAUUGGACAAUACACCAAGGCCGGCGCCGAGCAAAAAGGAUCAAUGUUUUGGGCUCCAUGCGUACUUCCAUGAGCAUAGGAAGUUCCUGCCCUACAAGUUUGAGAGCAAGUGUGGCGACAUGUCAAUCGCAAAGAGGUGGGGGUUCAUCCAACAAGAAUGCAACAAGUUUUGUGCAACCCUUGAGAACAUCCAAGGCUGCCCCGUGAGUGGCAUAGGCAUCAAAGACAUGUUUAAGGAGCAAUAUGCCAUCCAAAAGAAGAAUGGAGAGCGGGCGGCGGUCGUUGAGCAUAGUGAAGGUGAGAGGCGGCCAAGGAGGAAGACCAACUCGAAGGUGGAUGACAAGCGUGAUGCGACCACAUUCGCCUUGCAAGAAAUUUUGAAGGGGUCUAUGACCCAAAAGAAAGCGAGGGAGAAGAGGAAGCAGCAAGAGAAGUGUCCCAAGAAGAAGGGUUUGAUUCGAGAAGAGACAAAAGGAGAUGCUCGAGCUAGAUGGAUGAACUAUGGCUGGGGCGCGAUCAUUUUGUAUACCGGCAAGAACUCUGGCCGAGAUGCAUGA
This 714-nucleotide ribosomal RNA is filed under the name Triticum aestivum (bread wheat). RNAcentral describes it as "partial small subunit ribosomal RNA". The record is from RNAcentral. Lineage: Eukaryota; Viridiplantae; Streptophyta; Magnoliopsida; Poales; Poaceae.